UACGUAGGGGGCUAGCGUUGUCCGGAAUCAUUGGGCGUAAAGCGCGCGCAGGCGGCCCGGUAAGUCCGCUGUAAAAGUCCAGGGCUCAACCCUGGAAAGCCGGUGGAUACUGUCGGGCUCGAGUCCGGAAGAGGCGAGUGGAAUUCCUGGUGUAGCGGUGGAAUGCGCAGAUAUCAGGAAGAACACCGAUGGCGAAGGCAGCUCUGUGGGACGGUACUGACGCUGAGACGCGAAAGCGUGGGGAGCGAACAGG
This 253-nucleotide ribosomal RNA is filed under the name uncultured bacterium. RNAcentral's name for it is "partial 16S ribosomal RNA". It matches the Rfam family "Bacterial small subunit ribosomal RNA", at positions 524 to 776 of the family's 1533-position model. The record is from RNAcentral.